GGUGAGAUGGCCGAGUUGGUUGUAAGUUAUCCUCAACAGCCAAUUUCCAAGAAGUCUCCAAUAUUAACAGUCCACACAGAUGGCGCCAGGUUAAGGUCACACCUUAAUACAAUCAUCUGAUUCCUGGUCACGAAAGUGGCGUGGGUUCGAGUCCCACUCUCAUCA
Molecule: transfer RNA, 165 nt
Filed under: Umbilicaria muhlenbergii
Lineage: Eukaryota; Fungi; Ascomycota; Lecanoromycetes; Umbilicariales; Umbilicariaceae
Description: tRNA-Und (NNN) (tRNA-Und-NNN-5-1)
Rfam family: tRNA
About the family: Transfer RNA (tRNA) molecules are approximately 80 nucleotides in length. Their secondary structure includes four short double-helical elements and three loops (D, anti-codon, and T loops).
Source: RNAcentral